UGGGGAAUUUUGCACAAUGGAGGAAACUCUGAUGCAGCGACGCCGCGUGAGUGAUGAAGAUCUUCGGAUUGUAAAACUCUGUCCUUAGUGAAGAUAAUGACAGUAACUAAGAAGCAAGCCCUGGCUAAAUACGUGCCAGCAGCCGCGGUAAUACGUAUGGGGCAAGCGUUGUCCGGAAUUAUUGGGCGUAAAGGGUACGGAGGCGGUUUAAUAAGUCCUAAUUAAAAGGCUAUGGCUCAACCAUAGUAUGGUUAGGAAACUGUUGAACUUGAGUAGAUGAGGGGAAAGUGGAAUUCCAUGUGUAGCGGUGAAAUGCGUAGAUAUAGAGAGGAACACCAAUGGCGAAGGCAACUUUCUGGAAUCAAACUGACGCUGAGGUACGAAGGCGUGGGGAGCAAACAGG
This 403-nucleotide ribosomal RNA is filed under the name Fusobacteriota bacterium. Its description in RNAcentral is "Fusobacteria bacterium partial 16S ribosomal RNA". It matches the Rfam family "Bacterial small subunit ribosomal RNA", at positions 355 to 776 of the family's 1533-position model. Lineage: Bacteria; Fusobacteriati; Fusobacteriota. The record is from RNAcentral.